This 412-nucleotide ribosomal RNA is filed under the name uncultured Synergistaceae bacterium. RNAcentral's name for it is "bacterial SSU rRNA". It matches the Rfam family "Bacterial small subunit ribosomal RNA", at positions 980 to 1382 of the family's 1533-position model. Lineage: Bacteria; Thermotogati; Synergistota; Synergistia; Synergistales; Synergistaceae. The record is from RNAcentral.
UUUGACAUGUACGUGGUACGGAUCUGAAAGGUGAAGGACCCGGUCUUCGGACUGGGAGCGUACACAGGUGCUGCAUGGCUGUCGUCAACUCGUGUCGUGAGAUGUUGGGUUAAGUCCCGCAACGAGCGCAACCCCUGCAUCCAGUUGCCAUCGGGUGAAGCCGGGCACUCUGGAAGGACUGCCAUCGACAAGAUGGAGGAAGUGGGGACGACGUCAAGUCAUCAUGGCCCUUAUGUCCAGGGCGACACACGUGCUACAAUGGCCGGCACAACGGGAAGCGAGUUCGCGAGGACGAGCGGAUCCCUUAAAGCCGGUCGCAGUUCGGAUUGAAGUCUGCAACUCGACUUCAUGAAGCUGGAAUCGCUAGUAAUCGCAGAUCAGCCAAGCUGCGGUGAAUACGUUCCCGGGCCUU